This is a non-coding RNA of Schizosaccharomyces pombe (fission yeast), 223 nucleotides long. NCBI's taxonomy places the organism in Eukaryota, Fungi, Ascomycota, Schizosaccharomycetes, Schizosaccharomycetales, Schizosaccharomycetaceae. The record is from the annotation of a GenBank genome assembly.
UAACAGGAUAAGUUAACCACAAUAUUUAAGCAUCAGAACUUGUGAAUUAAAUGACUGCGGUCAAGAAAACAAUCAGUUUUUUCUCAAAUUUUCAAAAGUUUUGACAAGGGGUAAAUGAUAAAAUCGAAGUUCUUUCAAAUCUACCUGUUUUCCGUCAAAAUCGAAGCUUGCACACAAAUAUAAAGAUAAUCGUUCACAAGAAUGUUCAGUCAGAAAAUGAACA